AUACGUAGGGGGCGAGCGUUGUCCGGAAUGACUGGGCGUAAAGGGCGUGUAGGCGGCCGAUUAAGUCUGGAGUGAAAGUCCCGCUUUCAAGGUGGGAAUUGCUUUGGAGACUGGUUGGCUUGAGUGCGGAAGAGGUAAGUGGAAUUCCCAGUGUAGCGGUGAAAUGCGUAGAGAUUGGGAGGAACACCAGUGGCGAAGGCGACUUACUGGGCCGUAACUGACGCUGAGGCGCGAAAGCGUGGGGAGCGAACAGGAUUAGAUACCCUGGUAGUCCACGCGGUAAACGAUGAAUGCUAGGUGUUGCGGGUAUCGACCCCUGCAGUGCCGGAGUAAACACAAUAAGCAUUCCGCCUGGGGAGUACGGCCGCAAGGUUGAAACUCAAAUGAAUUGACGGGG
RNAcentral lists this ribosomal RNA (397 nucleotides) under uncultured bacterium. RNAcentral's name for it is "partial 16S ribosomal RNA". It matches the Rfam family "Bacterial small subunit ribosomal RNA", at positions 523 to 918 of the family's 1533-position model. The record is from RNAcentral.